AGCUCGGGCAGCCCCCCACCACUAUCCUGAUCCUAAAUUCCUAUCCAUCUCCGCUCGGAGGGGAAAGCCCGCCGUUGGCGCCCCUUCCCUGCCCGGGGGGGUGGGGGGGCGCUUUGCCGACGCCGACGCCCCGAUCAGCACCGGCAGCUGCUGCUGCUAGCCCUGCUCGUGCAGCACCCACUGUCUGACCCGGCUGCAAGCGCCUCGCUCGGAUGGGUCUUGCCUCCGCUACCGCUACCACGACGGGCUCCAUUAUCAAGCCAUCAUCGUGCGACUGCUGGAGAUGAGCCGCUGCCUCGGCCGGUUGGCUCAGGGACCUGCCUCUAUCUGGAGAAUUAUCUAGAUCGUGACCAAAAAAAAGGGUAGAAGGUUCAUGGAGCUGGAAUACAAAUUCGAUUCCAAGAUUCUCGAUAUAUAGACGAGUAUCUCAUGGAACUCAAAAUGAAAGGUGCUGACAGUACAAGGUUGUCUAAGGCAUAGGACGCUUUUACCGGUGUCUCAAAUGAAUUGAAGGGGAGGUGCUGCCCAUUUUUCCCCAAAUUUGUGAGGAUUUCACCCAUCCAAGUGCACCAAAGCUAUUGCUAGUAUCAUCUUCUUCAGGGAGUUUUCAGUUCUACUC
Panicum hallii is the source of this 619-nucleotide long non-coding RNA. RefSeq lists it as uncharacterized. NCBI's taxonomy places the organism in Eukaryota, Viridiplantae, Streptophyta, Magnoliopsida, Poales, Poaceae. The record is from RefSeq and is a predicted model, not a curated record. The transcript has 3 exons.